RNAcentral lists this long non-coding RNA (4517 nucleotides) under Daphnia magna. RNAcentral's name for it is "uncharacterized LOC116936384, transcript variant X4". The record is from RNAcentral. Lineage: Eukaryota; Metazoa; Arthropoda; Branchiopoda; Diplostraca; Daphniidae.
UCGUUCAAAAAUUAAAAUAGUUAAAGAUAAGACAAACUGACGUGUAAUUAAUCAAGAAUUUGAAGAAUGCUGUUCGUCAUUUGUUUGUGAAAGCUUCUUUUCCCGGGCAAAGGCAUGCUGUCAAAGCGUUGAAAUGAGGCUCGAUUUUGAUCAUUUGAUACAGAAACAUUUUAAACGAGUGUGACACAUUUGAUUGUGUGGAUAAUAUGAUUGAAGAAUUAGUUCCAAAACGGGAGUUUUUCUUACAAUGCCUGUAAAGUAAAAUGUGAACGGAACCUAUCAAUGUGUUUGAUCAAUAUGCCCAAACGAGAAUCCCGCUUGUCUCAUGGCGAAUUGACAAUGACGUUACGUUUUGCACCUGACGAAAUUUGCUGCAGUUUUUCAACGAAUUGAAGAACUGCUUUCUCGUUUUGUAUGCUGCACAAGCGGUAGAUGUCGCCGAGAAUGCUGCUCCGAAAAAAAAUAGUACCUAUUCCUCUAUCCCGUUAUUGUGGAACGCAGUGGCGUAGUGCAUUCUUGUAUGACCUGUUGAAGAACCAGAGUUGAGAACUUUCUCUGGGAGUUAAACCGGAGAAACGCGCUGUUGCUGACGGAAUUGCAACGUCUAGGUAAGUUUAUGUCUCUCAUUUUCUUGAUUUGCUUAAUCAGGCUUUAGUGAAACAAAUCUCACACAUUUUAGCCAAAGACUUGGCUAAUAUCAUGUGAUGGUAACUGACAGUUUUGGAAACCAGUGGCCCAAAAAAUCUUGGUUGUAGCAACAUGUUUGUUAUUUUGGGGCACGAACAAAGAGCCGAGGUUUCCCUAGAUUUCUUACACACCUAAAUCCGUUAUGUUGGACAAAUCAGCAAAAUGUUGGGAUUUUUCCUGUUUGACGUUUUUCUUUCAUUACAACGAAUUGACGGAAAUCCUUUAAUAUUCGGAUAUUUUAACUAAAAUACUCCGGAAAUGCACAAAUAAUAGAAACGCCGAUUUCACAUUUCACUGUGCCCUGGUUUCUUUUGUGUACAAAGUAAAGAUCUUUGUUUGCAUUGUGUUCAAUGAUAUCUUUCAAGUGUUAUGUUUUUGUAUUGUGAGGUGUGUAAAACUUAAAGGCUGUAGUGCUGAAAAAAAAAAGGAACCUGUAGGGAAAGCAGUUUCUAAUUUAUCUCUGUGAACCAAUAGGAAUUCAGGAACACGAAAGGAUAUAUUAAACUUAAAACAGCUUCCAACUGGAUUAAAAUAACGUAUAAAUACCGAUUUCUAUUUGCAUAGGUUUAUGUCUGCUGAAAUUGUAAAACGCCGAAACCAGGGCGACAAAUGAAUCUCGAACCUCUAGUGGAUAAUCAAAAACGAUAUCUGAGUUGCCACUUUGCAGUUGCUUUUGAGCUUCUAUUAUCCCACUAAGAAUGUCUGAAACAUCAUAAAUAUGAAUUAGCUUUUGACCACAAAAACAAGCAUUAAAAAACCAUACUUUUAUAUGGAACUUCUUCGUCAUGUUUCAUAUGUCUAGUCAGGUUUUCAAGCAACUUAGCAGAUCCAAUUAACAACUCUUCUGCAUAAAGGAAUUUAGAAAAAAAACCAUUAAUAAGUGUAUGAAGGGGUGGUCAGUGAAGAAAACAAUAUGAUGCAGAGAUCAUUAUUACCUUUUAGAGAGUUUUCAAGGAUGAAGGCAACAGACAUCCAUAAGGCUUCAUCAUCAAGAAGACUACUGCAGGAUUUAUUUUUAGAAUAGUGAUAGGAUUUAUUGUCAGAAUAGUGAAUCAAAUUAUCUAGGAGCCGAACAAUCUGGAUAAUUGUUUGGGAGUCUUCACUAGACAUCAAGUUUACUACACCAGUCAGCAACUCACUAUCCAAUAGGAUUUCAUGGCCUAUCUUUUGUUGGCAAGCUAGGUUUGCUAGGAUUCCAAUUCCAAUCUCCUGUAUUUAUAUUUUUAUGUUCAUUAAAAAAAAAUGCAUAAUAUGCACUCAUUAACACCUUUACCGUUAAUCUUGGGGCUACACUUUCUUCAAUGACACAUUUUGCUAAGGAUAAAAUGUCAUGCUGAAAUAAACAAUGUGCAACUUCUUUAUCUGCAGACAUGUCCCACAACAAACACAGGUCUGUUUCCAAGGAUUCAUCCAGUUCAACUGCAUUGCUCUCUUGAGUUUCAAAAUUGUUAUGGUUCUUUGAGUAUGAAGGCAAUUCCUGGACAGUGAAACUUGUUGAAACUAUUUAACUUGUCUAUUAGUUUUAUACCUCAGUAAGUUUCAUUAAAGUUUUCAAGAUCCACGAUUCCGAAUACAACGUAUCACCUAUCGCAUCUCCUUUAAGUCUUUCGUCAUCUUCCGUUAUUGCUUCACCAUUUUCUUCAACACUGGAUUCAUCAGAGUUUUGCUUAGAAACGGACAUUCUAAAUUUCUAACCGAGAAAAAAAAUUGCUGUCGAAAACUAACGACUGAAGCUAAAGCACUCUGAGAUUUGUUUGUUUGUUUGUUUACAACAUGACGGUAUUUCACCUCUUGCCGCUAGGAGAACUGACAGUGCCGUAUGUUACACUGUAAGGUCGCUAGAUGUGGCUAUUCCUAACUUUUUAGUUGGAAUGCGUGCAAACGAAAGCAUGAUGUGCGUUUGAAUGGGAAGAAAACAAGUAACUUUAAGAAUUUCCUGCCGAUUCCACGGCAUUUCAUUAUUUUCGAAAAAUACUGGUGAUGACAUCACCAGCAUGAUCCUGUCUCCAUCGCUCCCAACACAUCGGUCUGUGAAGUGAUUACAACGGCUAAUUUUCUAGGGAAUUCGUCAGCCCAUUUUUGUGCAAUGGAUUCCACCGAUUUUGCCAGGACCCAUGUUUUGGGAAUCUAACGAACGAAAUUCUCAUUUCUCUGCUACUGACAAAUCAGUAAGCUCCUAAAUAAUUUUUUUCUCCAUUCAAUUUUCGAAUUUCUUCUGCAGCUUUACGACCCAAGUUUGAGUGAUCGUUUUGAGUUUAGUUGGCUCUAUGUAUUGUUAACUGUUGUAAAAAUAGACCAGCACCUGAAUGCAAUAAAUCAGAAAUUACUGAUGUAUUGCUAUUUCUUGUGGUCCUUUGUUCGUAAUUGAUUAAACGAUGGAUCGAAAAACAGUUUAGGUUGUUCAAUUAAACAAAUGCAACAAAUUUUAACUUUUAAUUGCACUAGAUUUCCCUUGUUCCUUUGAAAUGUUAAGCAUUUUGGCCGUUUUUUAAAUAAUUGGAACAAAAGUGCCUGUGGCGCAAAAUAUUUGUUUAUCGGUUUCUUACGUUUAUUGAAAAAACCUCAAGUCCAAGAUAAAAACGAAAUCUAUUUUCUUGAUCCUCGUCAAAUUUUGAGUGGAAAACAUGCAUUUUUAACUAUAUCUAGAAUUUGUCAAAAAAUGAAAAAGUGGGAAGGCUAUACCCUUCUCACUUUUAUCAAAAUCUGCAAAAAUUCACAUCUCUUGGAAUUCGCUGAAAAUUAUACGGUAUAGUCGAAAUUGAAUGCAGAUUUCAGAAAACAUAUUAGUUUCCCCAUUAAUUAUAUAAUUUCUUAAUAAGACGCAAUUAAAGUGGUUAUGGGUAUGGCGCAUCUGGCGCAUCAUUUUUUUAUCUAAAUCAUACAUGUUCAUGGUAUGGACAAAUGCAAGAAGAUUGAACAAAAUACUAAAGCGCAACAAAAGAAUAAAAGACUUCCAACUUCCGCCCACAAAGAUGUUUAAGGAAAAACCUAAAGUUGGAGCUUGAUACAUUUUUUUCUCAUGGAAAGUUUUGUAAAACAAAUGGCAAACUGGUUAAAUGAAACUUGAUUCCUUUUUUUUUAAUUCGUUAAUUAAUUUUUGUGUGUGUGUUUUUUGUUCUGUUAUGGUGGAACGGUGGAGAGAAAAGAUGUUCGCGAAUAUGGGCAAUUCGAGAUCCAAGUAGAAACGGAGUGCAUAUUGUUUAAAGGCUUAUAGACUGGUAUUACUGACCAAUGUUGACAGCGUAGACAAGGUUACAGAAAGGUUGCAUUGAUCUUAAUGGCUGGUGUACAAUUACAGGACGAAAAAUGUCAUCAGCUGACGGAACAGCUGACAUGCCCAUAAAAAUUCUACGGAGUUAGUUAUUUCUCCCCUAGAUGUCUUGAAAAUAUACGGGAAAUGUCAGCUGUCCCGUCAGCUGUUCCAUUUCGCGUGGCUUCUGACUGAGGAUGGCUGCUGAUACGAACUUCUCUCUUCUUGAAAUUUUACCACCUAUGCCGUGUGUUUUGAGUUGCAUCUGGUGAAUUCAAUCAAUGCUGAGUUGUUCAAGGAGGAACAUGGGGCUUUGCUAGCACGUUUUUCAUCUCCGUUAGUCUGAUAUACCCAUUUUGUUUCAAAGGUCUUUAUCACCUGAUGUACUGUUGUGGCUGUGGAAUCAUUCAGUGACUUGGUUCAAUCCAGGACUUGGUUUCUUCGAAAAUGGUUUACAGUUUUAAUUUGCAGAGAUCCUGGAGGCACCUGAUGUGUUUCAUUGGCGUUGGAGUCACUCGGUGACAGAAGAGAAUGCCUCUAAUGUUAUGUUGUCAGUGUAAAUAAAACAUAUUCAGUAUCA